RNAcentral lists this ribosomal RNA (253 nucleotides) under uncultured bacterium. RNAcentral's name for it is "partial 16S ribosomal RNA". It matches the Rfam family "Bacterial small subunit ribosomal RNA", at positions 524 to 776 of the family's 1533-position model. The record is from RNAcentral.
UACGUAGGGUGCGAGCGUUAAUCGGAAUUACUGGGCGUAAAGCGUGCGCAGGCGGAUAUGUAAGUUAGGUGUGAAAUCCCCAAGCUCAACUUGGGAACUGCACUUAAGACUGCAUGUCUAGAGUUUGUCAGAGGGGGGUAGAAUUCCAAGUGUAGCAGUGAAAUGCGUAGAUAUUUGGAGGAAUACCAGUGGCGAAGGCGGCCCCCUGGGAUAAAACUGACGCUCAUGCACGAAAGCGUGGGGAGCAAACAGG